AACGAACGCUGGCGGCAUGCCUAACACAUGCAAGUCGAACGAGACCUUCGGGUCUAGUGGCGCACGGGUGCGUAACGCGUGAGAACCUGCCCUUAGGUUCGGAAUAACUCCCCGAAAGGGGUGCUAAUACCGGAUAAUGUCUUCGGACCAAAGAUUUAUCGCCUUUGGAUGGGCCCGCGUUGGAUAGCUAGUUGGUAGGGUAAAAGCCUACCAAGGCGACGAUCCAUAGCUGGUCUGAGAGGAUGAUCAGCCACACUGGGACUGAGACACGGCCCAGACUCCUACGGGAGGCAGCAGUGGGGAAUAUUGGACAAUGGGCGAAAGCCUGAUCCAGCAAUGCCGCGUGAGUGAUGAAGGCCUUAGGGUUGUAAAGCUCUUUUACCCGGGAUGAUAAUGACAGUACCGGGAGAAUAAGCUCCGGCUAACUCCGUG
RNAcentral lists this ribosomal RNA (432 nucleotides) under uncultured bacterium. Its description in RNAcentral is "partial 16S ribosomal RNA". It matches the Rfam family "Bacterial small subunit ribosomal RNA", at positions 29 to 507 of the family's 1533-position model. The record is from RNAcentral.